UUCCAGACUCCUACGGGAGGCAGCAGUGAGGAAUAUUGGUCAAUGGGCUUACGCCUGAACCAGCCAAGUCGCGUGAGGGAAGACUGCCCUAUGGGUUGUAAACCUCUUUUGUCAGGGAGCAACGCCGGCUACGUGUAGCCGGACUGAGAGUACCCGAAGAAAAAGCAUCGGCUAACUCCGUGCCAGCAGCCGCGGUAAUACGGAGGAUGCGAGCGUUAUCCGGAUUUAUUGGGUUUAAAGGGUGCGCAGGCGGAGGUGCAAGUCAGCGGUCAAAUUGCGGGGCUCAACCCCGUACUGCCGUUGAAACUGGCAGUCUCGAGUUGGAGAGAAGUAUGCGGAAUGCGCGGUGUAGCGGUGAAAUGCAUAGAUAUCGCGCAGAACUCCGAUUGCGAAGGCAGCAUGCCGGCUCCACACUGACGCUGAGGCACGAAAGCGUGGGUAUCGAACAGGAUUAGAUACCCUCGUACUC
RNAcentral lists this ribosomal RNA (469 nucleotides) under uncultured bacterium. Its description in RNAcentral is "bacterial SSU rRNA". It matches the Rfam family "Bacterial small subunit ribosomal RNA", at positions 329 to 795 of the family's 1533-position model. The record is from RNAcentral.